GACGAACGCUGGCGGCGUGCUUAACACAUGCAAGUCGAACGGUGAAGCGCCUUCCUUUUUGGUGGGUGUGGAUGAGUGGCGAACGGGUGAGUAACACGUGAGUAACCUGCUCCCUUCUUCUGGAUAACCGCGUGAAAGUGUGGCUAAUACGGGAUAUUCUGGGUCUGUCGCAUGAUGGGUCUGGGGAAGAUAUUGUUUCGGUGGGGGAUGGGCUCGCGGUCUAUCAGCUUGUUGGUGGGGUGCUGGCCUACCAAGGCGGUGACGGGUAGCCGGCCGGGGAGGAUGGACGGUCACACAGGGACGGAGACGCGGAGCAGACUACGACGGGAGGCAGCAGGGGGGAAUAUUGCACGGGGGGCGGAAGGCUGAUGCAGCGCCGCGUCGUGGGGGAUGGAGUCCUGCGGGUUGUGAACCUCUUUCGCGAGUGAAGCAGGGCUGCCUCGUUUGUGGGUGGGUUGACGGUAGCUGGAUAAGAAGCGCCGGCUAACUACGUG
Molecule: ribosomal RNA, 494 nt
Filed under: uncultured bacterium
Lineage: Bacteria
Description: partial 16S ribosomal RNA
Rfam family: Bacterial small subunit ribosomal RNA
Source: RNAcentral